CGGACUCCUACGGGAGGCAGCAGUGGGGAAUAUUGCACAAUGGGCGCAAGCCUGAUGCAGCCAUGCCGCGUGUAUGAAGAAGGCCUUCGGGUUGUAAAGUACUUUCAGCGGGGAGGAAGGGAGUAAAGUUAAUACCUUUGCUCAUUGACGUUACCCGCAGAAGAAGCACCGGCUAACUCCGUGCCAGCA
Molecule: ribosomal RNA, 189 nt
Filed under: uncultured bacterium
Lineage: Bacteria
Description: partial 16S ribosomal RNA
Rfam family: Bacterial small subunit ribosomal RNA
Source: RNAcentral